AAAAUAACAAUGAUUUCCCUAGUAACGGCGAGUGAAGAGGAAAGAGCUCAAAGUUGGAACCUGUUUGGCUUAGCUAAACCGGAUUGUAAACUGUAGAAACAUUUUCCAGAUACACUAGAUUAAAAAGUCCUUUGGAACAGGGCAUCAUAGAGGGUGAGAAUCCCGUCUUUGGUCUAAGUAGUUGUCUAUUGUGAUAUGUUUUCAAAGAGUCAGGUUGUUUGGGAAUGCAGCCUAAAUUGGGUGGUAAAUCUCACCUAAAGCUAAAUAUUUGCGAGAGACCGAUAGCGAACAAGUACCGUGAGGGAAAGAUGAAAAGAACUUUGAAAAGAGAGUUAAACAGUAUGUGAAAUUGUUAAAAGGGAACCGUUUGGAGCCAGAUUGGCUUGAUUGUAAUCAACCUAGAAUUCGUUUUGGGUGCACUUGCAGUCUAUGCCUGCCAACGACAGUUUGAUUUGGAGGAAAAAAUUAAUAGGAAUGUGGCCUUUCGAGGUGUUAUAGCCUAUUAUCAUACUCUGGAUUGGACUGAGGAACGCAGUGAAUGCCUUUAGGCAAGAUUGCUGGGCGCUUUCGCUAAUAAAUGUUAGAAUUUCUGCUUCGGGUGGUGCUAAUGUUUAAAGGAGGAACCCGCUUAGUAUAUUUUUUAUUCGCUUAGGUUGUUGGCUUAAUGACUCUAAAUGA
Molecule: ribosomal RNA, 678 nt
Filed under: Mucor racemosus f. sphaerosporus
Lineage: Eukaryota; Fungi; Mucoromycota; Mucoromycetes; Mucorales; Mucoraceae
Description: eukaryotic LSU rRNA
Rfam family: Eukaryotic large subunit ribosomal RNA
Source: RNAcentral